UUAGCUCAGCUGGGAGAGCAUCUGCCUUACAAGCAGAGGGUCGGCGGUUCGAGCCCGUCA
This 60-nucleotide transfer RNA is filed under the name Lysinibacillus sphaericus CBAM5. RNAcentral describes it as "tRNA-Val". It matches the Rfam family "tRNA", at positions 7 to 64 of the family's 71-position model. Rfam says of the family: Transfer RNA (tRNA) molecules are approximately 80 nucleotides in length. Lineage: Bacteria; Bacillati; Bacillota; Bacilli; Caryophanales; Bacillaceae. The record is from RNAcentral.